UACAGCGAGAAAUAACCUGAGCAGGCUGUUGUUGAGGUUGGUUAUUCAGAAAUAAUAUAAAAGAAUUCAGACGGAAACAUUCAGAAGGUAGAAUAAAGAGGCAACACACAGUAUUUGCAAGGAAGAAAAUAUACUGUUGUACCAAAUGGUGGGCCCAAAAUUCAUCAAUUCUAUCAUUCUAAAAGCACAAAAAAUGUAUCUAAUUCACUACUGUAUCAUGUGCAACAACCCGGAGAUUAGCAAAUAAAUGCGCUAAAGGGUACAAAACAUUUCUGAGUAGUUUGACCACAUCUCGUUCCCCUACAAAAGUAGCUCACAAAACAAAUAUGACAAUAACAUAAAUGAGUAACUUCCAAGGAAACAAAUAAUUAGUAAGUAAAAUAAUCUUACAUCUCGUUCCCCGAGACAUGUGAACAAACAUGUGAUGGAUAACCUGACUCUCCCGAUGGUAACCUCAUAGGAACCUCAAUCUCUGACGGGAAGCAAGUAACCUCAUUGCAUGUUUUUUGUAGACAGAUGACUCCUCACUAGAUGUUUUUGUAGAGAUGAAGGCUAGUAACCACCAAGAGUAGUGCAUAAUUUACAACCGCACUCACGACCUACAUAACUAAUCGAUGGGCACUCUGCACAUGACAGAUAUGAAAAUCAAUAAUGAAAAAGAAUUGAUGCAUCUCUGUCUAUUGAUAUGAGAUAUUAUGAAUUGAAUAUUUCGCACAUAUAAGCAACUCCUACCUUGCUACUGCACUAACUAGUACUGAAGCGCGACGACCAUUGGCAAAUAGCAUGUGGAUCAGGAGAUUUGCAAUGGUAACUUAUUUUGCUCAAUUUAAUCAGUCUAUCUAAGUAUAAUCUCUGACAAACAAUUUAGUCUGCAUCCGAAAAUCUCCCUUUGAUGGAUGAAAAAUAUUUCUAACAUUGAUAAAUAUAAUCACACGGGCAAUUGAAGUAUAUACCAGAUAUCCUAUGUAGAUCAGGAGAUUUCCGAAGAUAGCUUAUUUUCUCGAUUUAAUCAAGUUUGUUUAAGUACAAUCUGUGGAGAACAAAGAGCAUACAGAAAACCAGGAUAAGCCCCAUGCUUCUAAGGACAGGAGAUUCACAUCUCAGGACAAGCCGCGUGCUUCUAAGUACAGGAGCAUCACAUCUCAAAUGGCAUGUAUGCCUUGUGCCACAAAAUCUUCUCAUGCACUAUACACAGUAUGUGCUGAAUAAGCUAUAUAUUAUAUUAAGCUCAUCUUCACUGUGAAAUACAUGAACUGAGAACAUGCUGAUGGAUGACAAUAUCAUGCAUUAACAGGGAUGAUGAUCUACAAAGAAGAUCCUAUUACUGAUUAUUGGUAUCCAGCAGAUCACAAAUUGUCCCCACACUCUAUAAAUUACUCUUGUCAGGGCUUCUGUUAUUCCAAGAUAAUAUCGUAAGGUCCAAAUUUGGGUUUCCAACCAAAGAACAUGACCAUAACAACCUAUUUAAUAUUGCCAACAUAUGUAAGAUUGCUUGGCAAUGACUAACUAAUGUUCUGCACAAACAAUAUAAU
This 1532-nucleotide long non-coding RNA is filed under the name Triticum aestivum (bread wheat). RNAcentral's name for it is "long non-coding RNA (TAES_LNC011205)". The record is from RNAcentral. Lineage: Eukaryota; Viridiplantae; Streptophyta; Magnoliopsida; Poales; Poaceae.